This 435-nucleotide ribosomal RNA is filed under the name uncultured bacterium. RNAcentral describes it as "bacterial SSU rRNA". It matches the Rfam family "Bacterial small subunit ribosomal RNA", at positions 64 to 507 of the family's 1533-position model. The record is from RNAcentral.
GAACGUCCUCUGUCUUUUCGGAGAGAGAGGGAGUGGCGGACGGGUGAGUAACACAUGGGUGACCUACCCUUUGGUGAGGGAUACCGGCGAGAAAUCGCCGACAAACCCGCAUAGGCUGGCUCUGGUGGAGCGGAGCGAGCAAAGUUUUCUUUCGGGGAGACGCCAGGGGAUGGGCCUGUGGCCGAUUAGCUAGUUGGUGGGGUAAGAGCCUACCAAGGCGACGAUCGGUAGCUGGUCUGAGAGGACGAACAGCCACACUGGGAUUGAGAACGGCCCAGACUCCUACGGGGGGCAGCAGUGAGGAAUUUUCCGCAAUGGGCGAGGAGCCUGACGGAGCAACGCCGCGUGCAGGAGGACGCUUUUCGGAGUGUAAACUGCUUUUCUGUGGGACGAGGAUGGACGGUACCACAGGAAGAAGCCCCGGCUAACUACGUG